Molecule: RNA transcript, 1117 nt
Organism: Cynara cardunculus var. scolymus (artichoke)
Lineage: Eukaryota; Viridiplantae; Streptophyta; Magnoliopsida; Asterales; Asteraceae
Gene name: CBS domain-containing protein CBSX1, chloroplastic-like
Exons: 9
Source: RefSeq, a predicted model, not a curated record
AAUAUUUCACCAUCAUUUUCCAUCGACUUCUGGGAUUUCUCCGCUUAGAUAUCUCUUCCCCAAAUCUCCCUGCUCCACGCAACAUCAACAAUGGCCUCGAUUCCGCCGCUUCUAGAUCCACUUUCCGUUUCUCACGUCCGUUCCGCCACCGUCUUCCACCAUCAGAUCCCUUGUCUAAUCUCAUCCCCUCCAUCACUUACCUAUAGACUUCCAUCUCCUUGCAUCCUUCCACUUUCUCGUAGACCCACUUUCACCGUCGCCGCAGCAGCUACCUUGACGGGUAACUCCGUACCGCCAAGAAAUGGCGUGUUGAUCGUGGGUGAUUUUAUGACUACGAGAGAGGAGUUACAUGUCGUGAAGGCCACAACAACGGUAGACGAAGCUCUGGAAGCUCUUGUAGAACACAGAAUAACCGGCUUUCCUGUAAUUGACGAUGACUGGAAAUUGGUUGGGCUGGUUUCAGACUAUGACUUAUUAGCACUGGACUCUGUAUCAGGUGCUACUAAAGCUGAUACGAGCAUGUUCCCAGAGGUAGAUAGCACCUGGAAGACAUUCAACGAGGUACAAAAGUUGCUUAGUAAAACGGAUGGAAAGCUGGUUGGUGAUUUAAUGACACCUGCACCUUUAGUAGUUCGUGAAAAUACUAAUCUUGAGGAUGCUGCCAGAUUGUUGCUUGAAACCAAAUAUCGCCGCCUUCCUGUUGUAGAUGGUCAGGGAAAGCUGGUUGGAAUUAUUACAAGAGGAAAUGUCGUAAGAGCCGCCCUACAAAUAAAAAAGGCUGGCGAAACGCAAACAUAAGAUUUGGAGGAAGUGUACGCAGCCUGGCUUGGUGAUUUGAAUGCACGUAGCAAUGAAAUUAGUCACAAAAAUUUUGGUUUCAAAUGAAUCUGUAUCUAGUAUGGUAGGUUAUAAUUACUCAAGUUGGUAAGAAGGAAAUGAGGUGACGUUCAGAAGUACCAAAACCUAAUGGCUAUUGUAUUGAAUGAAGACCAAAUUAUUCCAAGCAAGAAGUGUCAUUCAUUAUAACUCCAUGAAGAUGGUAGGGCCAACCUUCCUCAAUCCCACAUGUCAUGUACCUUUUCAAAAACAUUUUUAUUCCAUAAGUUCAAUUCAUCUA